UAGGGGCGUCGGGGUUCGGCUCCCCUCCCCAAAUCUAGGGUGACUCUUAAGGUGGAGGGGAC
This 62-nucleotide non-coding RNA is filed under the name Marmota monax (woodchuck). It matches the Rfam family "Gag/pol translational readthrough site". The record is from RNAcentral. Lineage: Eukaryota; Metazoa; Chordata; Mammalia; Rodentia; Sciuridae.